Culex quinquefasciatus (southern house mosquito) is the source of this 1529-nucleotide RNA transcript. It is a transcript of the gene named THAP domain-containing protein 2-like, with no coding region annotated. The record is from RefSeq and is a predicted model, not a curated record. The transcript is spliced from 6 exons. NCBI's taxonomy places the organism in Eukaryota, Metazoa, Arthropoda, Insecta, Diptera, Culicidae.
GUGACCCAUCUAAAACAGCUGAUUUAAUUUCCAAAACAUUAACAUUUGCUUAAGUUUGCAUAAAGUAAUUUUUGUUUGAUAAAAAAAAUGCCAUCUCAUACAUGUAUUGUGUGUAAAUUAAAGUUGACAUUUGUGAAGCAAAGAAAGCUUGCCGUUUCCUUUCACGCAUUUCCAAGGUAUCCAUACACAAAACAAGCAUGGAUAGAGUUUUGCGGCACCGACACAGGUGUGGUGUGCUCGGGACACUUUUCCGACGACUGCUUUAUUGCUGGGCGUGAUGAAAAUUAUAAACGUCGCCGAUUGUUUGCAUGGGCUGUACCCACUAUUCGAGUCCCAGUAAAAAUAAAUGGAUCAAGCAUUUUAUCUGAAAACAGUUCAUCGAGUUUGAGUGAAACUAUUCAACCAGAAAUUUCAAAGUCCGUUGACUCGAAGGAAGCUACGCACAUUUCGGCGGAUGAUAUAAUUUUAACACAGAGUGCUACAGUUUCCCAGCUCAAGGCCCAAGUGCAGGAGCAUAAAUCAAAGGUUUACGCUAUUUGUUAAUAGGUGGCGAAAUAUGUCUUUUAGCUUUGCUGCAAAUCCUCUACAGGGAAAAUGCCGUCCUACAGAUGUGUUGUGUGCCAACUAUCGUCGAGAUUCGUUAAGUCGAAAAACCUUUCCAUUUCCUUUCACGGUUUCCCAAGUGAUCCAGACAAAAAACAAGCAUGGAAAGAGUUUUGUGGCACCGACACAGGUGUGGUGUGCUCGGAGCACUUUUCCGACGACUGCUUUCUUGGAGCGCGCGAAGAAAAGAAUAAACGCCGUCGGUUGGUUAACAAGGCUGUACCCACUUUGCGGUUCCCUGUGACGACUCAUGCAACAAGAAUCCUGUCGACUACCUACUCCCAAGAAAAUGAUUCCUCUUAUUUUGGUGUUCAGCCUACGAAGGAGGACUUUUCUGAGGAAGACUUUUCCCAGUCCUUUGACUACAUAGCAGAAGAAGACAUGUCAGAGGAAGAUGCAGUUUCGGCAAAGGAUGACAUAAUUUCCGAUCUCAGGAGCCAAGUUGAUGAAUAUAAAACACAGCUGGAAGACACGACCAAAAAGUUAAACGAGAUGGAAGAAGCCAUUUUUGACCGAGAUUGUAUCAUCGAGGACCUCCGCAAAAAGCUGGACGAUGUCCAGAAUGGAUUAUUACCCGACCAAAUUAAAAUAGAGAUUAAUGAUUAAGUAUGAAACGAAACAAUUCGCGUUUCAGUCCCAUUAAUUGGCAUUCAGUGAUUAAGAUUUCUUCAUCUGACUAAAAGCGGUUGAAAAAUUUGUUAAAGAUGAGCGCGCUCAACCCCACUUUUUGUACACGUAGGGCCAUUAACCUUAAGAUUCAAUCACACGACCUUUAGAUGCGAGUUAAAUGGUCGAGAAUCUGUGUCCUUGUAGAAGCUGUGUAUGUGAUGUGUUAAUUAAAUAAAAUAUAAACUAGCGUAUAACAUUUGUUUUACAUUUCGGAAUGUUCAUUUAUUGAAAAUAAAAAAAACGGAUAUUUUUAGAAC